AGAGUUUGAUCCUGGCCCAGGAUGAACGCUAGCGGCAGGCCUAACACAUGCAAGUCGAGGGGUAUGGAGUGCUUGCACUUCAGAGACCGGCGCACGGGUGCGUAACGCGUAUGCAAUCUACCUAUUACAGGGGAAUAGCCCAGAGAAAUUUGGAUUAAUGCCCCAUAGUAUUAUUGAAUGGCAUCAUUUAAUAAUUAAAGAUUUAUCGGUAAUAGAUGAGCAUGCGUACUAUUAGCUAGUUGGUGUGGUAACGGCACACCAAGGCUACGAUAGUUAGGGGCCCUGAGAGGGGGAUCCCCCACACUGGUACUGAGACACGGACCAGACUCCUACGGGAGGCAGCAGUGAGGAAUAUUGGACAAUGGUGGGAACACUGAUCCAGCCAUGCCGCGUGCAGGAAGACUGCCCUAUGGGUUGUAAACUGCUUUUUUACGGGAAGAAACACUCUCACGUGUGAGAGCUUGACGGUACCGUAGGAAUAAGGAUCGGCUAACUCCGUGCCAGCAGCCGCGGUAAUACGGAGGAUCCGAGCGUUAUCCGGAAUCAUUGGGUUUAAAGGGUCCGUAGGCGGGCUUCUAAGUCAGUGGUGAAAUCCGGCAGCUUAACUGUCGAACUGCCAUUGAUACUGGAAGUCUUGAAUUACUGUGAAGUGGUUAGAAUAUGUAGUGUAGCGGUGAAAUGCUUAGAUAUUACAUGGAAUACCAAUUGCGAAGGCAGAUCACUAACAGUAUAUUGACGCUGAGGGACGAAAGCGUGGGUAGCGAACAGGAUUAGAUACCCUGGUAGUCCACGCCGUAAACGAUGGAUACUAGCUGUUGGGCGCAAGCUCAGUGGCUAAGCGAAAGUGAUAAGUAUCCCACCUGGGGAGUACGUUCGCAAGAAUGAAACUCAAAGGAAUUGACGG
This 904-nucleotide ribosomal RNA is filed under the name uncultured bacterium. RNAcentral's name for it is "bacterial SSU rRNA". It matches the Rfam family "Bacterial small subunit ribosomal RNA", at positions 8 to 916 of the family's 1533-position model. The record is from RNAcentral.